AUCCUUUUGUAGUUCAUAAGCAUGAUGAUUGGGUGUUCACUCCAUUGUGUGACAUGUGCCACCCUUAAACCUUGUUAUGACCCAGGCACAUUACCUGUCUGACG
Molecule: small nucleolar RNA, 104 nt
Filed under: Suricata suricatta (meerkat)
Lineage: Eukaryota; Metazoa; Chordata; Mammalia; Carnivora; Herpestidae
Description: Small nucleolar RNA U13 (ENSSSUG00005011528.1)
Rfam family: Small nucleolar RNA U13
Source: Rfam by way of RNAcentral